Molecule: long non-coding RNA, 1329 nt
Organism: Balaenoptera ricei (Rice's whale)
Lineage: Eukaryota; Metazoa; Chordata; Mammalia; Artiodactyla; Balaenopteridae
Exons: 9
Source: RefSeq, a predicted model, not a curated record
GUUUCAGGUGGAAAGGAAAUCCAGUUCCUGUGACUCCAUCUUGUUCAGAACUGAAGUCCCAUUGCUUCACGUAUCACAGCAGGCAGAAGACUUGGUAGAGAACAUGGCAUAUGUGGUUUCAUCCUCCCUCCAUAGAGACUGAAGAACUUCCAAACUGCAAAUCUCUGGUGAAUGGAAACAACAAGGAAGUGAACCAAAAAUCAGACCCUCACAUAGAAGGGAUGUAGAAACCAGCCACAACUCAGUCCUACGCACUGGAAAACUGGUGGUGGGUUGACAAGAAAUUAUGUUUACACUUCAAGAAGGACACUUCAAUGUCUUCAGAAUCUGAGCUGGACCUCCAGCUAACUCAGGGGUAGAGGACGGAACAGAGGACCCCAAACAAACCCAAACUCUGAUGGAACCACCUCAACACUGAGCCGGGACACCACCCCUUCAGCCUAGAAAGAGGAGAGAGCCACGGCGGAAGAGACGCUGCAAAUGCCCGCUCACACGGGAGCGAGAGUGCUGUAUCCUGAGGAAGAACCUACGUUCAACUUGAAACUAUGGAGGAUGGAAACUGAGAGGUUUUACUAAACUCCAUGGGAGAGCAAAACAAGGCAAGACCUGAAACUGAAUUUUCAACGCCUCUCUGUGGAGUAUCUUUUGAUUCUGGGCAAUCACUUUGAGAUGGCUGGCUGGGGGUCAGAAGAGACGUCUGUGACUGUGGAACUGAACUAAUUUCUCUGGUACAAGGUGAUAGAGGGGUGGAGAAGGAUCCAACUCAACCUUUAGGUUUCCUGUGUACCAUGGAGUCCAGCCAGCAACAAGACACAGCAUCUCCGAAGCCACCAGAGACAAGAUCACUGUCCAAGAGAAACAUAAGCCUCUCAUAUAAUCGCCUGCUGGUAUAUUUUGGCUUGUGAAGCCUAACUAGUUUGCGAAGGCGUGCCAACGAGCAUGGCAUUUGCUUGUGUGGACAGACUAAGGAUAAAGUGGUCAAAGGAUAAGAAGGUGAUGACUAGAAGAACAAAGAUGUCAUAGGAGCCAGACUGAUAAUAACAGCAGGAGUUCUGCAGGACACAGAAAAUAUGACUGUCUCCUCAGGAGAUGGGAUUCAGUGUUCAAGAAGAUAAACAAGGUCCCUGUUCUCAUAGAAGGAUCUGGACAAUGAAUGAGCCUUCAAACUUGGACAGGAAUUACACCAUCAGCUCUUCUGGGUCUCCAAUUGCAGAUGGCAGAUCACAGGACUUCUCAGUCUUCAUAAUCACAUAAAUUUCACCAGUACAGACGGCCCCUGACUGAUGAUGGUUUGACUUAUGAUUUUUUUCUACCUUAGUGCAAAAGUGA